Non-coding RNA from Paramormyrops kingsleyae, 393 nucleotides. Lineage: Eukaryota; Metazoa; Chordata; Actinopteri; Osteoglossiformes; Mormyridae. The record is from the annotation of a RefSeq genome assembly.
CUCCAAACAAACAUGACUUUCAUCAGCCUCAGCAUCUUGCUCUUCAUCUUCACUCACGAAUGCAGAGGACAAGUGACUGUGACUCAGACUUCAGAGCUGAUAUCAGCUUCCUCAGGACAGAAAGUAACUAUAAACUGUAAAACCAGCAGCUCUGUGUAUACUGAUAGUAAUGGCCCCCGCAUGGCCUGGUACCAGCAGAGACCUGGAGAAGCUCCUAAACUUUUGAUCUAUUUUGCAAGUACCCGUAACUCUGGGAUUCCGUCUCGAUUCAGUGGCAGCGGAUCUAGUACUGACUUCACUCUGACCAUCAGUGGAGUCCAGGCUGAAGAUGCAGGAGAUUAUUACUGUCAGAGUGUUCAUAACAUUGGUAGUGACUGGCCAAACACACAGUGA